Molecule: ribosomal RNA, 254 nt
Filed under: uncultured bacterium
Lineage: Bacteria
Description: partial 16S ribosomal RNA
Rfam family: Bacterial small subunit ribosomal RNA
Source: RNAcentral
UACGGGGGGGGCAAGCGUUGUUCGGAAUUACUGGGCGUAAAGGGUUCGUAGGUGGCUUGCUAAGUCAGACGUGAAAUCCCUCAGCUUAACUGGGGAACUGCGUCUGAGACUGGCAGGCUUGAGUGCAGGAGAGGAACGCGGAAUUCCAGGUGUAGCGGUGAAAUGCGUAGAUAUCUGGAGGAACACCGGUGGCGAAGGCGGCGUUCUGGACUGUAACUGACACUGAGUGAACGAAAGCCAGGGGAGCAAACGGG